UACAGAGGGUGCAAGCGUUGUUCGGAAUUACUGGGCGUAAAGCGCGUGUAGGCUGCGAUGUAAGUCGGAUGUGAAAUCCCCGGGCUUAACCUGGGAACUGCAUUUGAAACUAUGGAGCUAGAGCGUGUCAGAGGGGGGUAGAAUUCCACGUGUAGCAGUGAAAUGCGUAGAGAUGUGGAGGAAUACCGAUGGCGAAGGCAGCCCCCUGGGAUGACACUGACGCUCAUGCACGAAAGCGUGGGGAGCAAACAGG
This 253-nucleotide ribosomal RNA is filed under the name uncultured bacterium. Its description in RNAcentral is "partial 16S ribosomal RNA". It matches the Rfam family "Bacterial small subunit ribosomal RNA", at positions 524 to 776 of the family's 1533-position model. The record is from RNAcentral.